UCUUUUCCUUUUUUUCCCUCCGCCGCGGUAAUACGUAGGUGGCAAGCGUUGUCCGGAAUUAUUGGGCGUAAAGCGCGCGCAGGCGGCUUUCUAAGUCCAUCUUAAAAGUGCGGGGCUUAACCCCGUGAUGGGAUGGAAACUGGAAAGCUGGAGUAUCGGAGAGGAAAGUGGAAUUCCUAGUGUAGCGGUGAAAUGCGUAGAGAUUAGGAAGAACACCGGUGGCGAAGGCGACUUUCUGGACGACAACUGACGCUGAGGCGCGAAAGCGUGGGGAGCAAACAGG
RNAcentral lists this ribosomal RNA (283 nucleotides) under Dialister succinatiphilus YIT 11850. RNAcentral describes it as "partial 16S ribosomal RNA". It matches the Rfam family "Bacterial small subunit ribosomal RNA", at positions 493 to 776 of the family's 1533-position model. The record is from RNAcentral. Lineage: Bacteria; Bacillati; Bacillota; Negativicutes; Veillonellales; Veillonellaceae.